UCCAGACUCCUACGGGAGGCAGCAGUGAGGAAUAUUGGUCAAUGGCCGAGAGGCUGAACCAGCCAAGUCGCGUGAGGGAUGACGGCCCUACGGGUUGUAAACCUCUUUUGUCGGGGAGCAAAGAGAGUCACGUGUGGCUCAUUGAGAGUACCCGAAGAAAAAGCAUCGGCUAACUCCGUGCCAGCAGCCGCGGUAAUACGGAGGAUGCGAGCGUUAAUCGGAAUUACUGGGCGUAAAGCGCUCGUAGGCGGUAUGUCAAGUCAAGGGUGAAAUCCCCGCGCUCAACGUGGGAACUGCCUUUGAAACUGGCAAACUGGAGUGUGUGAGAGGAUAGUGGAAUUCCAGGUGUAGGAGUGAAAUCCGUAGAUAUCUGGAGGAACAUCAGUGGCGAAGGCGACUAUCUGGCACAUAACUGACGCUGAGGAGCGAAAGCGUGGGUAGCAAACAGGAUUAGAUACCCGGGUAG
Molecule: ribosomal RNA, 466 nt
Filed under: uncultured bacterium
Lineage: Bacteria
Description: bacterial SSU rRNA
Rfam family: Bacterial small subunit ribosomal RNA
Source: RNAcentral